This 549-nucleotide ribosomal RNA is filed under the name uncultured Glomeromycotina. RNAcentral describes it as "SSU rRNA". It matches the Rfam family "Eukaryotic small subunit ribosomal RNA", at positions 548 to 1098 of the family's 1831-position model. Lineage: Eukaryota; Fungi; Glomeromycota. The record is from RNAcentral.
UUGGAGGGCAAGUCUGGUGCCAGCAGCCGCGGUAAUUCCAGCUCCAAUAGCGUAUAUUAAAGUUGUUGCAGUUAAAAAGCUCGUAGUCGAAUUUCGGGGUCAGUAGGUCGGUCGUGCCACUGGUAUGAACUGGUUUUACUGAUUCCUCCCUCUUGAAGAACUGUAAUGCCAUUAAUUUGGUGUUGCAGGGAAUCAGGACUGUUACUUUGAAAAAAUUAGAGUGUUUAAAGCAGGCUUUAGCUUGAAUACAUUAGCAUGGAAUAAUGAAAUAGGACGUUUGAUCCUAUUUUGUUGGUUUCUAGGAUUGACGUAAUGAUUAAUAGGGAUAGUUGGGGGCAUUAGUAUUCAAUUGUCAGAGGUGAAAUUCUUGGAUUUAUUGAAGGCUAACUACUGCGAAAGCAUUUGCCAAGGAUGUUUUCAUUAAUCAAGAACGAAAGUUAGGGGAUCGAAGACGAUCAGAUACCGUCGUAGUCUUAACCAUAAACUAUGCCGACUAGGGAUCGGAUGAUGUUAAUUUUUUAAUGACUCAUUCGGCGCCUUACGGGAAAC